Molecule: ribosomal RNA, 254 nt
Filed under: uncultured bacterium
Lineage: Bacteria
Description: partial 16S ribosomal RNA
Rfam family: Bacterial small subunit ribosomal RNA
Source: RNAcentral
UACGGGGGGAGCAAGCGUUGUUCGGAUUUACUGGGCGUAAAGGGCGCGUAGGCGGCCACCGCAAGUCGACUGUGAAAUCUCCGGGCUUAACCCGGAAAGGUCAGCCGAUACUGCGGGGCUAGAGUGCAGAAGGGGCAACUGGAAUUCUCGGUGUAGCGGUGAAAUGCGUAGAUAUCGAGAGGAACACCUGCGGCGAAGGCGGGUUGCUGGGCUGACACUGACGCUGAGGAGCGAAAGCGUGGGGAGCAAACAGG